This 861-nucleotide ribosomal RNA is filed under the name Patellariopsis dennisii. Its description in RNAcentral is "LSU rRNA". It matches the Rfam family "Eukaryotic large subunit ribosomal RNA", at positions 73 to 963 of the family's 3401-position model. Lineage: Eukaryota; Fungi; Ascomycota; Leotiomycetes; Helotiales. The record is from RNAcentral.
UUGCCCUUAGUAACGGCGUAGUGAAGCGGCAACAGCUCAAAUUUGAAAUCUGGCGCAAGCCCGAGUUGUAAUUUGUAGAGGAUGCUUCUGGGCAGCGGCCGGUCUAAGUUCCUUGGAACAGGACGUCAUAGAGGGUGAGAAUCCCGUAUGCGACCGGUUGGCACCCGUCACGUAGCUCCUUCGACGAGUCGAGUUGUUUGGGAAUGCAGCUCUAAAUGGGUGGUAAAUUCCAUCUAAAGCUAAAUACCGGCCAGAGACCGAUAGCGCACAAGUAGAGUGAUCGAAAGAUGAAAAGCACUUUGGAAAGAGAGUUAAAAAGCACGUGAAAUUGUUGAAAGGGAAGCGCAUGCAACCAGACUUGUCGGCGGUGUUCCGCCGGUCUUCUGACCGGUCUACUCGCCGCCGACAGGCCAGCAUCGUCUAGGCGCGCCGGAUAAAGGUGUCGGGAAUGUGGCCCCUCGGGGUGUUAUAGCUCGACACACAAUACGGUGCCGCCUGGGCGAGGUCCGCGCUUCGGCUAGGAUGCUGGCGUAAUGGUUGUCUGCGGCCCGUCUUGAAACACGGACCAAGGAGUCUAACAUCUAUGCGAGUGUUCGGGUGUCAAACCCCUACGCGUAAUGAAAGUGAACGGAGGUGGGAACCCUUACGGGCGCACCAUCGACCGAUCCUGAUGUCUUCGGAUGGAUUUGAGUAAGAGCAUAGCUGUUGGGACCCGAAAGAUGGUGAACUAUGCCUGAAUAGGGUGAAGCCAGAGGAAACUCUGGUGGAGGCUCGCAGCGGUUCUGACGUGCAAAUCGAUCGUCAAAUUUGGGUAUAGGGGCGAAAGACUAAUCGAAACCAUCUAGUAGCUGGAUCUGCGAG